UACGUAAGGGGCAAGCGUUGUCCGGAAUUAUUGGGCGUAAAGAGCUCGUAGGCGGUCUGUUGCGUCGGCUGUGAAAACCCGGGGCUCAACCCCGGGCCUGCAGCCGAUACGGGCAGACUAGAGUUCGGCAGGGGAGACUGGAAUUCCUGGUGUAGCGGUGAAAUGCGCAGAUAUCAGGAGGAACACCGGUGGCGAAGGCGGGUCUCUGGGCCGAUACUGACGCUGAGGAGCGAAAGCGUGGGGAGCGAACAGG
Molecule: ribosomal RNA, 253 nt
Filed under: uncultured bacterium
Lineage: Bacteria
Description: partial 16S ribosomal RNA
Rfam family: Bacterial small subunit ribosomal RNA
Source: RNAcentral